This 369-nucleotide ribosomal RNA is filed under the name uncultured organism. Its description in RNAcentral is "partial 16S ribosomal RNA". It matches the Rfam family "Bacterial small subunit ribosomal RNA", at positions 527 to 896 of the family's 1533-position model. The record is from RNAcentral.
GGAGGAUGCAAGCGUUAUCCGGAUUCAUUGGGUUUAAAGGGUGCGCAGGCGGGGGCAAUAAGUCAGUGGUGAAAUCCUGCGGCUUAACCGUAGAACUGCCAUUGAUACUGUUGCCCUUGAGUAUAGUUGAGGUGGGCGGAAUAUGUAAUGUAGCGGUGAAAUGCAUAGAUAUUACAUAGAACACCAAUUGCGAAGGCAGCUCACUAAGCUAUCACUGACGCUGAGGCACGAAAGCGUGGGGAGCGAACAGGAUUAGAUACCCUGGUAGUCCACGCCGUAAACGAUGAUCACUCGUUGUUGGCAAUACAUCGUCAGCGACUGAGCGAAAGCAUUAAGUGAUCCACCUGGGGAGUACGAUCGCAAAGAUUG